This is a long non-coding RNA of Oncorhynchus keta (chum salmon), 1658 nucleotides long. RefSeq lists it as uncharacterized. NCBI's taxonomy places the organism in Eukaryota, Metazoa, Chordata, Actinopteri, Salmoniformes, Salmonidae. The record is from RefSeq and is a predicted model, not a curated record. The transcript is spliced from 4 exons.
UCACGGGGGCGAGCACACAUGAUUCUCACGAACGCGCAAGGGAUUACAAGGAAAGUUUGAGCUGUGAGGAUACACGUCUGUUUUUGUUCGUUGUUGGUAGUUUGCUUUAUCGACUGUAUUUUUGUACCUGUUGUUAUUUUUGUAAGGACAAAAGUCGUGUGCCUGAAGGUGACCAGCAAGCAAAUAUUUCUCUCAGCAGAUCCAGCUAGCUAAACUACUUCCUCAGCUUGUGAAUCUGACAUCAAUCACCAUGACUUCUAUUCCCAUGACAGCAACAGAGAUGAGACCUACAUCGCUUCCCAGUCAUACGGACUCCUCUGUCAUUGGAAUUGUCAUCGUACUUGUUCUACUGACGCUAGCUGGCCUGGGUUUCCUUCUGUACCGGUACUUGUGCCACAACAAGGGUGCCUACAGAACCACAGGAGAACCUGCCCCGGGGGAGGACUGUGAUCUGGCCCACGGUGACAUCGUAACUGAUGAAAAGAAGGAGUACUUCAUUUGAACUUGAUGACGAGGAGGAAUGUGAGAACUGUGGGUGGGUGUUUAACAAAAUGUUCUCUGCCAAACUGACAGGAAAUGACAAUCUUUGAUGGACAUCUACCAUAUGUCUGCAGAAUUGAAGACCUACAUAGAUUUUACCCAAGAGAACACACUAUCACGUAUAAGCACAUAAGCUGGGCAAGCGAUGAGAUUAAUUAGUAACAGUGUGUGCACACUGAUGGUUUUACAAUUUAACAGUUGUGUGUAAAGUAAGAGAACUGUUUUAACACUGGUGGAUGGAGGACUUCAUGAGAUUCUUGUGGGGGAAUGUCUAAGAUGGCGUCAUAUAAUUGUUAUCAAUCUGCUCCCCAUGUGUCAACUCUGAAGGGCUUUCAUUUUCUGAUUGUAUUGGUAAAAUAUAUAUAUAUAUAUAUAUAUAUACAGUGGGGAGAACAAGUAUUUGAUAACCUGCAAAAUCAGCAGUGUUUCCUACUUACAAAGCAUGUAGAGGUCUGUAAUUUCUAUCAUAGGUACACUUCAACUGUGAGGUUGGAGCCUGUUUGAUUGUGUGGACAGGUGUAUUUUAUACAGGUAACGAGUUCAAACAGGUGCAGUUAAUACAGGUAAUGAGUGGAGAACAGGAGGGCUUCUUAAAGAAAAACUAACAGGUCUGUGAGAGCCAGAAUUCUUACUGGUUGGUAGGUGAUCAAAUACUUACGUCAUGCAAUAAAAUGCUAAUUAAUUACUUUAAAAUCAUACAAUGUGAUUUUCUGGAUUUUUGUUUUAGAUUCCAUCUCUCAGUUGAAGUGUACCUAUGAUAGAAAUUACAGACCUCUACAUGCUUUGUAAGUAGGAAACACUGUCGAAUAUGCAGGUUAUCAAAUACUUGUUCUCCCCACUGUAUAUAUUUUCCUGGGGGCUAAAUGGGAAAUUGUAUUUCUUGAUCAGUAGAAGGCACUGAUUUUUUUUUUUUUCUCAUGCCAUUAUACAUAAUUUACCAGUUCAAAACUGGGCAGCUUAACGGGAAAUGUUGUUUUGUAUCUGUUACUAUUACCAAAUACACCAUCUUGUUUGUAUGGUCUUACUGAAGUAUCUGCCAAAGGCAGUAAGUGGCCUGAAAGACCUCAAUUUGAGACUGCAGGUCUGACAUGGCAAUAAAGCUUGUUAGUUUUUAAUCA